GGACACAGUAGUGCUGACUUCUCAUUCUCUUAGGUUAGCUAUGGUUUGUGUGAGAAAUUAAAUAUCAAAAGAAGUUUGUGCUCGCCAUACCACCCACAAACCAAUGGUCUGGUGGAGAACCUGAAUGGGACGAUUCAAAGGUCCUUGAACAAAUUAGUGGCAGACCAUCCACAUAGAUGGGACGAGGUGCUGCAACCAACAAUGUUUGCCCUGCGGACCAAAUGACAUUUCACCACAAAACAUUCCCCAUAUUUUGUUUGAUGUUUGACAGGGAGGCCAGGUAUCCGUCGCAGAUACCAACACAAUAUGAGAUCACUUAUCAAAAGGAGGAGAGGCUAAUUUCACAGGAGGUUGUGAGCCGAGGCAUUUCUGAGCAGAAAAAAACCUACCGGGAAGUGUCCUCAAAUAUUCAAAAGAGUCAUGAAAAGGUUAGGCAGAGGAAAAGGCAACGAGGUAAGGAGGACUUUAAGGUGGGUGACCAAGUUCUUCUAAAGAACAUCAGGCAGGAGCAAAGGAAGGGUGGAAAAAUGGAGGCA
This is a long non-coding RNA of Cyprinodon tularosa, 536 nucleotides long. RefSeq lists it as uncharacterized. The record is from RefSeq and is a predicted model, not a curated record. NCBI's taxonomy places the organism in Eukaryota, Metazoa, Chordata, Actinopteri, Cyprinodontiformes, Cyprinodontidae. The transcript has 3 exons.